This is a long non-coding RNA of Cotesia glomerata, 134 nucleotides long. RefSeq lists it as uncharacterized. Lineage: Eukaryota; Metazoa; Arthropoda; Insecta; Hymenoptera; Braconidae. The record is from RefSeq and is a predicted model, not a curated record. The transcript is spliced from 3 exons.
UGGUAUUAGUAAUUGUAGUGGUGUUUAAAUUGGUUCAAUCUGAAUUUCUGAAUGAAAUCCCUGAUAGUGGAUCAAGAAAUAUUCAGUAUGAAAUGGGAGUCAUCAAUUUUCCUAGAAGACAUGCACGUUCACUG